AGUUUGGUGCUGUAACGUGGAUAGGACCGGACCUUCCUUUGGAACUCUGUUGACUCCACCCAGUUUGUGACAAUAUCCUUACCUUCGGCCCACUGUUGUCUAUGAGCAGGCUUGAAAUGCUUUCUGUUACUUGCUACAAAAGAACCCUUAAUGAAACUGAAGUUGUAACAGAGGAUAGCACAUCCUGUCUUUGUGGAGAAUAGACCAGGCCAGAACAAGGAGGAGAAUCUGGGAAGUGCAUUUACAAAUCAGGACACCUGGGGAUAGCAGACCACAGCCAUGUGGAGCCCACACAAUAGACUGAUGACCUGCAACUAGCCUAAUGCUAAACCGGACCCAAUUCCACCAUGGAAUGAAACUGGACACUGGCUUUGCUGCUAGCUCUACUGAAUCCUCAGGGCUGGAUUAAGGGAAAUGGAA
Myotis davidii is the source of this 420-nucleotide long non-coding RNA. RefSeq lists it as uncharacterized. NCBI's taxonomy places the organism in Eukaryota, Metazoa, Chordata, Mammalia, Chiroptera, Vespertilionidae. The transcript has 3 exons. The record is from RefSeq and is a predicted model, not a curated record.